ACAAUGCGGGACUAUACGUCUUGCAAUUGGAUUGAGAACAAUGUACAACUCUUAUCGAUAAGCCAUUGGAGGGCAAGUCUGGUGCCAGCAGCCGCGGUAAUUCCAGCUCCAAUAGCGUAUAUUAACGUUGUUGCAGUUAAAAAGCUCGUAGUUGAAGUGUGGGUGAUCGCUGUUGUGAGACUUCGGUCUCUCGACAGUAAGUCACCCCCUUCCAGUAUCCAGUAGUGGGUAUUCAGUUACUUACUAUUGUGUGUUGGUCCUUUACUGUGAGAAAAUUAGAGUGUUCAAAGCAGGCGUUUGCUUGAAUAGAUUAGCAUGGAAUAAUAAUUGAAGGCUUUCGUGUUCGAUUUGAUUGGUUUGUUCAUGGAAGCAAGGUUAAAAGGAACAGUUGGGGGUAUUCAUAUUCACUAGU
This 412-nucleotide ribosomal RNA is filed under the name Blastocystis sp. subtype 1. Its description in RNAcentral is "SSU rRNA". It matches the Rfam family "Eukaryotic small subunit ribosomal RNA", at positions 477 to 905 of the family's 1831-position model. The record is from RNAcentral. Lineage: Eukaryota; Bigyra; Opalinata; Blastocystidae.